CAUCAUUAUUAAUCAUAGGUUUACAAAGAUAUAAAGGUUGAUGUUACUGUCGGUUCCAGAGUCGCGGAUUCGGGUAUUAAGUCUGACGAUGUUGGAAGCCGUGGAAAUAAUGAUUUGAUGAAAGGAAAUGGAGAUCUUGAUGCAAAAGGAAUUAAUGGACAGAGCCAUGAAGAGAAAAGAUUGGUAACUUCUAAUGUUUGAUUUAUGCUUUUUUUGUGCAAGA
Molecule: long non-coding RNA, 223 nt
Organism: Helianthus annuus (common sunflower)
Lineage: Eukaryota; Viridiplantae; Streptophyta; Magnoliopsida; Asterales; Asteraceae
Exons: 3
Source: RefSeq, a predicted model, not a curated record